Long non-coding RNA from Siniperca chuatsi (mandarin fish), 2098 nucleotides. RefSeq lists it as uncharacterized. The transcript has 3 exons. Lineage: Eukaryota; Metazoa; Chordata; Actinopteri; Centrarchiformes; Sinipercidae. The record is from RefSeq and is a predicted model, not a curated record.
ACAGCAUAGGUUAGCUGCAGGCUCCGCAGUAUCCACUGCAAGGAGAAGCAGCUAAUGCAGCUCUCGGAAAGACAAAUUAAAGACUUUAAGACUUUCAAACGCUACCUUAAAUUUUAUUCCAUACCGAAAUGAAGACAAAAGCAGCCGGCACACUCUGCCAUCAUGAAUGUGUAAACUAUAAACUAAAAAAACAGGAUGCUGGAAACCGAAAGAUAACAACAGAGACUAAACCCACAGAAACAUCUGCUCCACUGAGAAGCUGCUGUUGUCUCUUCUACUCCAGGCAGAGGCUACCUCAGACCAAGAGUCUGCAGCCAGGCUGCCAAGGCCCAGCAGUGCUGUGAGCGAACAUGCUCCCAAUGAAAAGUUUGGCAGCUGCCCUCACACAGUACGGACUGCUGCCUGCAGUAUGCAUACAACUGGGACACACUACUUCAUCACAACACUGCGCCUUGAACUUUGACCCUCUUGCUCAUUCUCAUGCUGCGCAGAGGAUUGUGGAGAGCCUCCACCCCUCCACCCCUCCACCCCUCCACCCCUCUACCACCCCACCGUCACCCGUGUCAAUGCUGUCUAUGACUCCCUGCGGAGGAUCUCCAAAUGGCUGCAAUUUAUAGGCUUUCACCCUCUAAAUGGAUUUCAUCGACAGGGUCAGCACCGGAGAGCUUACAUCACAGUACAUCACAAUACAUUUCCGAUCGGCUACAUUCUGAACUGUCCAGACCUUUUAGCUGGUCUGGGACAGGUCUGCUUACUGUCUCCGGAGUCGUAACUUCUUUUAUAUCAAGGCUUAAAACUUUUCUGUUUCACACUGCUUAUCUUAAAUCUAGUUUGGGGCUAUUUAUUCUUAUGCUGCACUGAAAGAAACGUAUUCUUCUGCUUCAUUCAAUUUCAGCGUAUUUGUCUCAUUUAUUUUAUUUUAAUUUUUAAAAAUCCCAUUCACAUGUAUAUUUUAUUAUAUUGCCUUGUGUGUCUUUUACAUAUUUUCUUAAUGCCUUUUUAUGUCUUAUGUAAAGCACUUUGAAUAGUAGUUGAAAGCUGCUUAUACAAAUAAUUUGCCUCACCUCACCUUGCUCAACUUUAUGAAUGCCAAUUAAAUAUAACAAAAAAUUAAAUAGCUGAUGUAUGUUGUCUUUUGAUAGUUUCAAAAAGUAGAAAGUGUUAGCAAGUAAUUAAAUAAAAACUUUAGGAAGAAAAUUUCUAUGUGUUAUCAGAGCACUAAUUUUCAUAGCCCUUUUCCAAUAGCUACGUGUUUAAUCCAUAAAGGAUACGCAUUAUUGGGAAACAUGUUAUCUACUGCAUUCUUUCUAAUGGUGAAUGUGUUGCUGACAUGAUGGACACUGAUGGCUGAGAAAAGUAAAUGUAUGCUGUCAGUGCACAGUACUUUUGCAUCUUAUUUGUAAUUGUAUUUGUAUAUAUGUAUUAUGAGGCAAAUGUCAAUGUGAAGCAGGUGUUGGUACUGUAUAUUAUUACAUUAUUCCACCUAGAAAGCGACACCACCAAAACAGCAGACUUGACCUUUAGCUCUUUCUCCUCUGAAUGGACACUUCCCUGCAGCUUAAUGGACUCCUCUCUCUCAGACAUUCACACGCACGUAUACACAUCCACUUGCCUUGCCAGAAAGGCCACGUUCAGCGGGUGCAGGUCAUUGGCCCCGAGGCAGGUUCAAUAUUUAUGGGUCGCUGCAGCAUUUUACUGUCUCAGCUUGACAAAAAUGAUCAGCAUCUCAGGCACUCUGCCUGUCAAUCCAGCAGCUCUGCACAUCACAUAAGCUUACAUCGCAGUCAGCCCUGCAGGAUGUCACUGAGAGAUGGCUAAUAAGCUGGGUUUCCCCAGCCAAGGAUAAAUCACUCUGGAUCCAGAACCGAAGCUGCUCCAGCCUGACGUCUGCAGCAGGGAAGGAUGGAUGGAUGGAUGGAUGGAUGGAUAUGUAAAUGCUCUGAAUUCUAAUACAGUCUUUGCUUGUUUGUCCUACAGCCAAAUUCAACACCUGAUUAAAAUGGGAUGUUGAUGUGUAUUACUGUGCAUCCAGCCACCUUGUAUUAUUAUCUGCAAAAUAUCUACUACUACCAUUUCCUACAAAUCCGCCAGUGGCCAC